Molecule: ribosomal RNA, 372 nt
Filed under: uncultured organism
Description: partial 16S ribosomal RNA
Rfam family: Bacterial small subunit ribosomal RNA
Source: RNAcentral
GUAGGUGGCAAGCGUUGUCCGGAAUUAUUGGGCGUAAAGCGCGCGCAGGCGGUUCUUUAAGUCUGAUGUGAAAGCCCACGGCUCAACCGUGGAGGGUCAUUGGAAACUGGAGAACUUGAGUACAGAAGAGGAAAGCGGAAUUCCACGUGUAGCGGUGAAAUGCGUAGAGAUGUGGAGGAACACCAGUGGCGAAGGCGGCUUUCUGGUCUGUAACUGACGCUGAGGCGCGAAAGCGUGGGGAGCAAACAGGAUUAGACACCCUGGUAGUCCACGCCGUAAACGAUGAGUGCUAAGUGUUAGGGGGUUUCCGCCCCCCUUAGUGCUGCAGCUAACGCAUUAAGCACUCCGCCUGGGAGUACGGCCGCAAGGCUG